RNAcentral lists this ribosomal RNA (195 nucleotides) under Schizoxylon albescens. RNAcentral describes it as "5.8S ribosomal RNA". The stretch from base 40 to 193 matches the Rfam family "5.8S ribosomal RNA". Rfam says of the family: 5.8S ribosomal RNA (5.8S rRNA) is a component of the large subunit of the eukaryotic ribosome. It is transcribed by RNA polymerase I as part of the 45S precursor that also contains 18S and 28S rRNA. The record is from RNAcentral. Lineage: Eukaryota; Fungi; Ascomycota; Lecanoromycetes; Ostropales; Stictidaceae.
AAACUUUGAAGUCUGAAAAAAACUAUGGAAAUAGCCUAAAACUUUCAACAACGGAUCUCUUGGUUCUGGCAUCGAUGAAGAACGCAGCGAAAUGCGAUAAGUAAUGUGAAUUGCAGAAUUCAGUGAAUCAUCGAAUCUUUGAACGCACAUUGCGCCCCUUGGUAUUCCGAGGGGCAUGCCUGUUCGAGCGUCAUU